This 329-nucleotide unclassified non-coding RNA is filed under the name soil metagenome. RNAcentral's name for it is "partial contains 5.8S ribosomal RNA, internal transcribed spacer 2, and large subunit ribosomal RNA". The stretch from base 1 to 120 matches the Rfam family "5.8S ribosomal RNA", at positions 35 to 154 of the family's 154-position model. The record is from RNAcentral.
GAUGAAGAACGCAGCGAAAUGCGAUAAGUAAUGUGAAUUGCAGAACUCAGUGAAUCAUCGAAUCUUUGAACGCACAUUGCGCCCCCUGGCCUUCCGGGGGGCAUGCCUGUUCGAGCGUCAUUAUAACCCCUCAAGCUCAGCUUGGUGUUGGGGCCUGCUGCACUGGCAGCCCUUAAAAUCAGUGGCGGCGCCAUCUGGCUCUAAGCGUAGUAAUUCUUCUCGCUAUGGAGUCCUGGUGGAUGCUUGCCAUCAACCCCCAAUUUUUCUAUGGUUGACCUCGGAUCAGGUAGGGAUACCCGCUGAACUUAAGCAUAUCAAUAAGCGGAGGA